CGGUGAUUAGGCAAGCGGUAUGCCGUCUGCUUUGGGAGCAGAAAAUCGCAGGUUCGAUCCCUGCAUCACCGACCA
RNAcentral lists this transfer RNA (75 nucleotides) under compost metagenome. Its description in RNAcentral is "tRNA-Pro". It matches the Rfam family "tRNA". From Rfam's summary of the family: Transfer RNA (tRNA) molecules are approximately 80 nucleotides in length. Their secondary structure includes four short double-helical elements and three loops (D, anti-codon, and T loops). Further hydrogen bonds mediate the characteristic L-shaped molecular structure. tRNAs have two regions of fundamental functional importance: the anti-codon, which is responsible for specific mRNA codon recognition, and the 3' end, to which the tRNAs corresponding amino acid is attached (by aminoacyl-tRNA synthetases). tRNAs cope with the degeneracy of the genetic code in two manners: having more than one tRNA (with a specific anti-codon) for a particular amino acid; and 'wobble' base-pairing, i.e. permitting non-standard base-pairing at the 3rd anti-codon position. The record is from RNAcentral.